UGGGGAAUAUUGGACAAUAGGCGAAAGCCUGAUCCAGCCAUGCCGCGUGAGUGAUGAAGGCCCUAGGGUUGUAAAGCUCUUUUGUGCGGGAAGAUAAUGACGGUACCGCAAGAAUAAGCCCCGGCUAACUUCGUGCCAGCAGCCGCGGUAAUACGAAGGGGGCUAGCGUUGCUCGGAAUCACUGGGCGUAAAGGGUGCGUAGGCGGAUCUUUAAGUCAGAGGUGAAAGCCUGGAGCUCAACUCCAGAACUGCCUUUGAUACUGAGGAUCUCGAGUUCGGGAGAGGUGAGUGGAACUGCGAGUGUAGAGGUGAAAUUCGUAGAUAUUCGCAAGAACACCAGUGGCGAAGGCGGCUCACUGGCCCGAUACUGACGCUGAGGCACGAAAAGCGUGGGGAGCAAAACAGGAUUAGAUACCCUGGUAGUCCACGCCGUAAAACGAUGAAUGCCAGCCGUUGGAGGGUUUACUCUUCAGUGGCGCAGUU
This 483-nucleotide ribosomal RNA is filed under the name uncultured bacterium. Its description in RNAcentral is "partial 16S ribosomal RNA". It matches the Rfam family "Bacterial small subunit ribosomal RNA", at positions 355 to 853 of the family's 1533-position model. The record is from RNAcentral.